UACGAAGGGGGCUAGCGUUGUUCGGAAUUACUGGGCGUAAAGCGUGCGCAGGCGGCUUCUCAAGUCAGGGGUGAAAGCCCAGAGCUCAACUCUGGAACUGCCUUUGAGACUGAGAGGCUUGAGUACGGGAGAGGUGAGUGGAAUUCCCAGUGUAGAGGUGAAAUUCGUAGAUAUUGGGAAGAACACCCGUGGCGAAGGCGGCUCUCUGGGACGGUACUGACGCUGAGACGCGAAAGCGUGGGGAGCGAACAGG
Molecule: ribosomal RNA, 253 nt
Filed under: uncultured bacterium
Lineage: Bacteria
Description: partial 16S ribosomal RNA
Rfam family: Bacterial small subunit ribosomal RNA
Source: RNAcentral